Molecule: ribosomal RNA, 104 nt
Filed under: Triticum aestivum (bread wheat)
Lineage: Eukaryota; Viridiplantae; Streptophyta; Magnoliopsida; Poales; Poaceae
Source: RNAcentral
AGAUGCGAUCAUACCAGCACUAAAGCACCGGAUCCCAUCAGAACUCUAAAGUUAAGCGUGCUUGGGCGAGAGUAGUACUAGGAUGGGCCCUCGUGUUGCAUUCC